GGCUGUGGCUCAGCGGCAGAGCACUUGCCUAGCAAAUGUGAGGCCCUGGGUUCGAUCCUCAGCACCA
RNAcentral lists this transfer RNA (67 nucleotides) under Marmota monax (woodchuck). Its description in RNAcentral is "tRNA.Ala". The record is from RNAcentral. Lineage: Eukaryota; Metazoa; Chordata; Mammalia; Rodentia; Sciuridae.